AUACGUAGGGGGCGAGCGUUGUCCGGAAUGAUUGGGCGUAAAGGGCGCGUAGGCGGCCCGGUAAGUCUGGAGUGAAAGUCCUGUUUUUAAGAUGGGAAUUGCUUUGGAUACUGUCGGGCUUGAGUGCAGGAGAGGUAAGUGGAAUUCCCAGUGUAGCGGUGAAAUGCGUAGAGAUUGGGAGGAACACCAGUGGCGAAGGCGGCUUACAGGACUGUAACUGACGCUGAGGCGCGAAAGCGUGGGGAGCGAACAGGAUUAGAUACCCUGGUAGUCCACGCGGUAAACGAUGAAUGCUAGGUGUUGCGGGUAUCGACCCCUGCAGUGCCGGAGUCAACACAAUAAGCAUUCCGCCUGGGGAGUACGGCCGCAAGGUUGAAACUUAAAGGAAUUGACGGGG
This 397-nucleotide ribosomal RNA is filed under the name uncultured bacterium. Its description in RNAcentral is "partial 16S ribosomal RNA". It matches the Rfam family "Bacterial small subunit ribosomal RNA", at positions 523 to 918 of the family's 1533-position model. The record is from RNAcentral.